Long non-coding RNA from Mesocricetus auratus (golden hamster), 1105 nucleotides. RefSeq lists it as uncharacterized. Lineage: Eukaryota; Metazoa; Chordata; Mammalia; Rodentia; Cricetidae. The record is from RefSeq and is a predicted model, not a curated record. The transcript is spliced from 3 exons.
CAGCAAGCGGCUUCGGGGUCAGUUCCUGCCUCCAGGUUCCUGCCCUCGCUGCUUUCGACGACAAACUGGCAUAUGAGACUCAGGCCCAGCCCCACCUGUGUCUCAGAAACGGAAAGGUCACUGAAGAGUCCCUCUUAGUCCACCAGCUUCAUCCCCGUUAUGAAGGGCUUUUCCUAGGAGCCUAUUUAAGAAAGCGAGAUGUGUUAAGGAGAGUAAACAGGACUCUUGCAAACAAGGCGUCCGGUGACGCCAGAGCACAGCAGAGGAUUCUGGGCGUCUAGAAAACCACAGGAUGAGAAAGCAUUGUGCUGAUACUGGAGCCAGCACGAGGAGCAGCGCUCCUUCCUAAGGCCGUGCACUCUCUCCUUCAGUCAGCAAGCAGCAAGCUCUGCUUCCUCAGUAUCCCCUGGUCCUUCCCCUGUCCCGGAAGUGCCCUAUGUAAUGGGCAGAGGAAUGCCUGGAGAUGAUUACUACUCUGAGUGAGCCUAGAGGAAUGGGCCUGGCCUCCAAUUAAGACCAAGCCAAGCCCGGGAGAGGAACUAAAUGAAGACAAGGCCCUAGUGAUUAACUGGGGUCUGGGCAGCCAGGAACUGAAUGAAGCCUGCACAUGCGCCCUUACCAAGAUGGUGAGCAGCUGUGUGCUCUGAAACAAGGACCACGGAUCAAAAAGAAAAUCCUCUCCCCUGUUCUGUCUUCGUGUAUCCCUGCAGGCCAGAAGACGCACCACAUCUAAUUACAUCACGUGGUGGCUGGGAAUUGAACUUAGGACCCCUGGAAGACUAGCUAGUGUUUUUAACUACUGAGCUCUCUCUCCAACCCCGCAAAGGACCCUUUAAAAGAAAGACCUGUACCCACUCACCCUCUCUUUGCUGCUCCUCUCUCUUCCGUUUCUCUUUCUCGCUGUUCCCCUGGGGCAGACAGGACUUUUCCUGUCUCCCUCCUCUUUUCUGUGCUCUCUCUGUCCAUCUCUUUACCUCUUUUCUCUUUCCUUCCCCCUUCCCUCUGCUUUCUAAUAAAACUUCUCACUAAGCUCUGUCUGCCUGUCGUGUUUGUCCCCCUCCUCGGUCACCCUAGAUAGCCAUGGAAUCCACCAAGGUCCCCCAUG